RNAcentral lists this long non-coding RNA (1394 nucleotides) under Mytilus galloprovincialis (Mediterranean mussel). Lineage: Eukaryota; Metazoa; Mollusca; Bivalvia; Mytilida; Mytilidae. The record is from RNAcentral.
GCAUGGUACUAGAUAAAUUUCUAUAGUAACUAAAAAUACAACAAUAUAUACAGCGCCACCGGAAGUCGCAAUACGUAAACAACAUUGCAAAAAGUUAUGUGUGUCACCGGCGGACCAAAAUGAUAAAUAUCAAGGAUAGUGAGCAUUAACAUCUACAAAACAUUGAAGACGUUGACUAUAAAUACUAAAAGGAAUUACAAGAAGUAUGUGAAAACAGUUGCCAACACGUAAAAAUAGUGUUUUUAUUGAACAAUCGUCCCAAGUGACACAUGGGUUCUACUGCGCAUGUCAAUACAUUUCAUUCAUAAAAUUCAAGCACAGGUGCGUGGAAUUUACUACAGUUGCUUAAAUUGGAUUAUCACAAAAAUACAAGACAUUUGGCUUCCAAAAUCAACAUAUAAUGACAGAUAGAUGUAAUCAUAGAAUGCAUAGAUUUUACAAUACAGAGAAGUUAUGAUUAUCGAUUUUUAAUCAACUGAAAGUUAAAAUUGGAUUCAACCAAGCAUGAUGACCGCAUACCCUAAUUUGCAGACGACACCUAUUUGUGGAUUAUACAGUGGAUUAUUACUGUGAACUGGUAAAUUAUAACAUGAACUUCAAAUAGUUUAAUCAAAUAUACAAAUGACAUGCAAUUCAAUAUUUCUACAAGAAUCAUAAUACUAUAAUUGUUCUAACUUUACUUUAUUAAAUGUUAAUUAAAACUUAUUUGCUUCAAUUAUCAUAUGUUCCAGACUACAAGCAUUACAAGUAGUAUAAUACAAGUUAUUUCACACAGUUACUGUUUCCUACAUCAUAACUUACAUAAAAAAAAUACAGAAUAUUAGACAGUAUGCUUUAUUAAUACCAAUUUAAAACAUACAUCAAAAAAUUCUUACAUGUCUAUCACACGUCAUAAUAAAAUACAUGAAAAUACAUGUACCCUAGUCGCCGUACUGUACAUUUUACCCCCUUUCCAUUAUUUGCGUCCCCGCAAAUACUUUAAACUUUUGCAAAAGAUUCCAUUUCAAAUUUUCUAUGUCUUGAAUACAUAUUCUUCUUAAAAAGAAAUUAUUUCUAAAACUGGAUGAAAUUAGCUUUCUUAUUAAUACAAUCUAUGAUUGUAACACAAAUACAUCAUAAUAUAAUACCAAAUAUGUAAAAAUUAUACAUAAUUAUCAUGAUUAUUUUCUUUUUAUAUUAUAUUUUACAGAUACACCUGAAGUUUCACCAUUAUGACCAUCAGCACGAGGGCAGUAGAUAUCAAACAGACAUAUAUAUGUACCAAAUGUGGAAAAUUACUGAACGUUAUGAACAAACUGGAACAUGGCUAAGAACCAGAGGUUUCUGAAGGAAAAUUUUAGUUAUCAUGCAAACAGUACCAAAAUAUUUAAAUAUAAGUUCAAAAAUACACCCAA